CUGGGAAGCAGGAGGAAUUUUUCAUGAAUUGGGUCGUGCUGUCGCAAUACUACUAGCGAUAGUUUGAUUCUUGUGGGGAAGUGAGCUCGGAGCACGAGAUCGUGUUUCUAUAUGCUCCUAAGCUUCUUCAGGCUUCGAAAUUUCGACAAUUCUUUCUGAUAAUUCUAGUUCUAGCUGCAAAGUUUUGAAUUUUGACAGCUUCUUUGGGAGCCUGAAAUAUCAAGAAGUUGCGAAUUUAAAGGGAACUCCUUGUUUUUUUAUAAACACCGAAAAUUUUCACUCUCCAGGGAUAGGGGAUGAGGGUAACUUCUCUCAUUUAGGGGAUUGAAGACAGGGAAAGGCGAGAUAGGGGCUGAUAAGGACAGGGAGAAGGAGUGCAUCCAUGUGGAGUUGUCACCCUGCCUCAUGAUCAUAGCUGAUAAUGGUCUGCCAAUCUGUGAAAGAUUGACACAUGGAUCCUGAAGGCAAAAAGUUUGGAGGAGGACCAAGGGAAUUAACGGGUGCCGUAGAUCUUAUAAGUCACUUCAAAUUACUUCCGCACUAUGAGUUCUUUUGCAAGAGGCCACUUCCCAUGUCAAUUGCAGACACACACUAUCUUCACAAUGUGGUAGGAGACACUGAAAUCAGAAAAGGAGAUGGGAUGCAGUUGGAUCAACUUCUUCAGCAUACAUCUUCUUCCAUAGAUACAAGUGCUCGUAUACAGCCUUUUGACCUAGACAUUUUGAAGGAGGCUUUUCAACUGAGGGAAACAGCUCCCGUUGAAUUACCUCCUGCCGAGAAGGGGACUCCAACUAUUGCAGGAAAAUCAAAAGGUGAGUCUAAAGACAAGGAGAAGAAGCAUAAAAAACACAAAGACAGGGACAAAGAUAAGGAUAAGGAGCAUAAGAAGCACAAACAUCGUCAUAAAGACCGAAGCAAAGACAAAGACAAGGACAAAGAGAGAAAGAAAGAGAAAAGUGUGUAUCAUGAUUCCAGUGCUGAUCAUGCAAAGAAACACCAUGAAAAGAAAAGGAAGCAUGAUGGAGAUGAAGAUCUUAACGAUGCAAACAAACACAAAAAAAGCAAGCAUAAGAGCUCAAAAAUUGAUGAGUUGGGGGCAAUAAAGGUAGCAGGAUAAAAUGGAUACAUACUGUAGUUCACUUUUUUCCUCAAAUAGUUGUUGUCAGUUGUUAAAGUUUGGAGGGGUCUCUCAGUUGACAUUGUGAAACUUAAGAGUAGCUAGUGAACUGUCAGUAAAUAUUAUCAUGAGGGUGAAUUGGUGGAAGAAAAGGAUACUGAGGUAAAAUUUGCUGAGAAUGAACCUUGUUGUAUAAUAACAACGAUCUUAUAUAUUAGUGCCAGUAAUUUCCCAAACUCUGGUCCUUUCUGUUUUCCCAGUUUUGUGGCGCACUGGACAUCUCAAAGUGAAUGAUGCAUUGUACUUUUUCCCCAUCGUGGUUUUUUAAUUUUCUAGUUUACUCUUCCGUAAAUAGUUUUUUUUUUAAAUUUAUUUAUUUAGGGCUAGUUGCUUAGGAUGAUUGAACUAGGACUAACACCGCGAAGCGUGUAUAUUGAUUGCUCCUCCCAUGCCCUGUAUCUAACAGUAACAAGUCUGAAAUUGAUGACUGUAUGGCUUUGCAUCAUGCAAACUAACUCUUCUCCAAGUUCUUUGUAUAUCUAUUGGAUUAAAAUGUUAUUUUGAAGCAA
Neltuma alba is the source of this 1686-nucleotide RNA transcript. It is a transcript of the gene named mediator of RNA polymerase II transcription subunit 19a, with no coding region annotated. The record is from RefSeq and is a predicted model, not a curated record. The transcript has 9 exons. Lineage: Eukaryota; Viridiplantae; Streptophyta; Magnoliopsida; Fabales; Fabaceae.